Molecule: long non-coding RNA, 431 nt
Filed under: Salmo salar (Atlantic salmon)
Lineage: Eukaryota; Metazoa; Chordata; Actinopteri; Salmoniformes; Salmonidae
Description: lncRNA (ENSSSAG00000103295.1)
Source: RNAcentral
GCCUGAAAGAGACAGGUAGCUACUGUAGCUGGCUAGGGACCGCCUGAAAGAGACAGGUAGCUACUAUAGCUGGCUAGGGACCGCCUGAAAGAGACAGGUAGCUACUGUAGCUGGCUAGGGACCGUCUGAAAGAGACAGGUAGCUACUGUAGCUGGCUAGGGAGCGCCUGAAAGAGACAGGUAGCUACUGUAGCUGGCUAGGGGACUGAGAGGAUGAGUUACAGUAAUGUAACUGAUGUCAUCCUGUUAAUCACGUCUGCCUGGCCAAACAGCCCUGCGGGUACAGACUGUAGUGUGUGUACAGCCAAGCUGUUCCCACGACCCAGAGGUCAAAGGACAUGCUCAGAGUCGGCGCCAGGCAGAGACCAGCCAGAUAGACGACCUUGCCGCGCACACUUACACACACACACACACACACACACACACACACAC